UGGGCGCAGAAUCCCGACU
RNAcentral lists this microRNA (19 nucleotides) under Pteropus alecto (black flying fox). Its description in RNAcentral is "pal-miR-541-3p". Its record names the gene pal-miR-541-3p. Lineage: Eukaryota; Metazoa; Chordata; Mammalia; Chiroptera; Pteropodidae. The record is from miRBase by way of RNAcentral.